This 403-nucleotide ribosomal RNA is filed under the name uncultured bacterium. Its description in RNAcentral is "partial 16S ribosomal RNA". It matches the Rfam family "Bacterial small subunit ribosomal RNA", at positions 28 to 526 of the family's 1533-position model. The record is from RNAcentral.
GACGAACGCUGGCGGCGUGCCUAAUACAUGCAAGUCGAACGCAGUGGGGGCGGGUGAGUAACACGUGGCUAACCUCCCAUCAGAGGGGAUAACACUUGGCAACUGGUGCUAAACCGAUACUGAUGUAUGUCAUCGCGUGGCUGUAGCCAGUUGGUGAGGUAACGGCUCACCAAGGCCACGAUGCAUAGCCGACCUGAGAGGGUGAUCGGCCACACUGGGACUGAGACACGGCCCAGACUCCUACGGGAGGCAGCAGUAGGGAAUCUUCGGCAAUGGACGAAAGUCUGACCGAGCAACGCCGCGUGAGUGAAGAAGGUUUUCGGAUCGUAAAACUCUGUUGUUAGAGAAGCGGUAUCUAACCAGAAAGCCACGGCUAACUACGUGCCAGCAGCCGCGGUAAUUC